This is a long non-coding RNA of Peromyscus californicus insignis, 613 nucleotides long. RefSeq lists it as uncharacterized. The transcript has 2 exons. NCBI's taxonomy places the organism in Eukaryota, Metazoa, Chordata, Mammalia, Rodentia, Cricetidae. The record is from RefSeq and is a predicted model, not a curated record.
GGCGGGGGUGGAGCCGGAAGCGGCUCCCAGGGGCUCGUUCUCUCCGCCGGCGACAGGCCCGCUGUGCUGUCGCCGCCGGGGAGGGAGAAAGCGGCCUGCCUUAGAACCCGAAGGAAUGUGGGGGAGAAGCCGAAGUGGAAGCUGACUGACGGCGACGCGCCCAGCGUGGAAAACGGGAACGAGUGAAGGCAUGCAUGCACAUGCAUGUAUGCAUGCAUGCAGUGCAGCCGAGAAAGACUUGUUACACCCCCCCCCUCCACGCAGUCGCGCCCACAGUAUGAAACAUGCUUUUUAAGUGUGAAUGAGCAGCAGCCCCGCUGCACGCCAGCUCUCAGGGAGGACGGAUUCGCAGUCCCACGGGCCCUGCUCACGGUGUUGAGGACAAGAGUGAAGAACGUCACGUUUUCCAACGCCCCCUCCCCCGCCUUGGCUCAUUUCUGCUUCAGGCGCCAUCUUGGGCUGUGAGUCACCCGGAGUGGAAAAAUACUAGAAAGUCUGCUGAGAGGUCGUACAGGUGUCUUCGUUCCUCCCUGAGCAAGACCAUCAAUCCUGUGCUCCCGACAUCCAUUAUCUAGAACUUUAUUCUUGCAAUUAAUAAAUCCUCCUAGGGUGA